UUCCAGACUCCUACGGGAGGCAGCAGUGGGGGAUAUUGCACAAUGGGGGGAACCCUGAUGCAGCGACGCCGCGUGGGUGAAGGAGCGCUUCGGCGCGUAAAGCCCUAUCGGCAGGGAAGAAGGAGGACGGUACCUGACUAAGAAGCCCCGGCUAACUACGUGCCAGCAGCCGCGGUAAUACGUAGGGGGCAAGCGUUAUCCGGAUUUACUGGGUGUAAAGGGGGCGCAGACGGCAGCGCAAGCCAGGAGUGAAAGCCCGGGGCCCAACCCCGGGACUGCUCUUGGAACUGCAUGGCUGGAGUGCGGGAGGGGCAGGCGGAAUUCCUGGUGUAGCGGUGAAAUGCGUAGAUAUCAGGAGGAACACCGGCGGCGAAGGCGGCCUGCUGGACCGCGACUGACGUUGAGGCUCGAAAGCGUGGGGAGCGAACAGGAUUAGAUACCCUAGUACA
RNAcentral lists this ribosomal RNA (449 nucleotides) under uncultured bacterium. Its description in RNAcentral is "partial 16S ribosomal RNA". It matches the Rfam family "Bacterial small subunit ribosomal RNA", at positions 329 to 794 of the family's 1533-position model. The record is from RNAcentral.